UUUUUUGGCUUUUGGUAAUAGGGAUUGAACCCAGGAGCACUUUACCACUGAACUACAUCCCCAGUUCUUCCCCACCCCCCAGUUUUUAUGAGACAGCUUCUGAGACAGGCUUUGAACUUGAAAUCCUCCUGCCUCAGCCUCCUGAGCUGCUGGGAUUAUAGGUGUGUGCUAUAGUGCCUGGCUUGAGACAGAGUUUCUUCAAAUUGCUUAGGCCCUCACUUAUUGCUAAGGCUGGCCUUGAAAAACCAGCCUCUGUCUCAGAGCAAAGCCUGUCCAAGGAAGGGACAUGACCUUUGUCCUUGGAAAGACCCACAGAGCACUCCUAGGCACAUUCCCACCCUGCUAAGUGGUUUAUCUACAAAUAACAGGAGAGAUCUGCUGUGCCAGGUGUCCCUGACUCAGUCAGGCUAGGUGGGGAUCCAUAGCAGCCCCCUAGCAGCCACCAAUCAGCAUGAGACAGGGAAAUACCUGGGAUGCCAGAUGACCCUCCCGGUAGUUUAUGGUGGUUGAUAACAUGUUGGGAAACCAUGUAGUUCAGCACCAACACCCCUCUUGGCCUAAACCAAUCAGUUCAAAUGAAUACCCCUUUUGUAGUAACCAAUCACCCCUACCCAACUUGUUCCCACCAGUGAAUGUGCUAAUCAUGUUUUAGAGUUGUUAUUUGAUUUUCCCCCGCGGUGUGUGAUGAUUUGCUAAGAGAUGCUAUGAUGUAUGUGGGGGUCCCUGCCUUCUCCAAAGAGUGUAUAAAACUGCUGCAAACCC
RNAcentral lists this long non-coding RNA (762 nucleotides) under Marmota monax (woodchuck). Lineage: Eukaryota; Metazoa; Chordata; Mammalia; Rodentia; Sciuridae. The record is from RNAcentral.